UUGGGAAUCUUGCACAAUGGGGGCAACCCUGAUGCAGCGACGCCGCGUGGAGGAUGACGGAUCUAGGUCUGUAAACUCCUUUUUCACGGAAAGACUUAGGACGGUACCGUGAGAAUAAGCUCCGGCUAACUACGUGCCAGCAGCCGCGGUAAUACGUAGGGAGCAAGCGUUGUCCGGAUUUACUGGGCGUAAAGGGCGCGUAGGCGGUUUGUUAAGUUGGAUGUGAAAUCCCCGGGCUCAACCUGGGAACUGCAUUCAAAACUGACAAGCUAGAGUAUGGUAGAGGGUGGUGGAAUUUCCUGUGUAGCGGUGAAAUGCGUAGAUAUAGGAAGGAACACCAGUGGCGAAGGCGACCACCUGGACUGAUACUGACACUGAGGUGCGAAAGCGUGGGGAGCAAACAGGAUUAGAUACCCUCGUAGUCCCUGAGCGGGCUGGCAAGGCGCAU
Molecule: ribosomal RNA, 448 nt
Filed under: uncultured bacterium
Lineage: Bacteria
Description: bacterial SSU rRNA
Rfam family: Bacterial small subunit ribosomal RNA
Source: RNAcentral